CCGGACCGGCGCACGGGUGAGUAACGCGUAUGCAACUUACCUAUCAGAGGGGGAUAACCCGGCGAAAGUCGGACUAAUACCGCAUGAAGCAGGGGGCCCCGCAUGGGGAUAUUUGCUAAAGAUUCAUCGCUGAUAGAUAGGCAUGCGUUCCAUUAGGCAGUUGGCGGGGGCAACGGCCCACCAAACCGACGAUGGAUAGGGGUUCUGAGAGGAAGGUCCCCCACAUUGGUACUGAGACACGGACCAAACUCCUACGGAAGGCAGCAG
RNAcentral lists this ribosomal RNA (267 nucleotides) under uncultured bacterium. RNAcentral describes it as "partial 16S ribosomal RNA". It matches the Rfam family "Bacterial small subunit ribosomal RNA", at positions 90 to 354 of the family's 1533-position model. The record is from RNAcentral.